GAUCCUGGCUCAGGACGAACGCUGGCGGCGUGCCUAAUACAUGCAAGUAGAACGCUGAAGAGAGGAGCUUGCUCUUCUUGGAUGAGUUGCGAACGGGUGAGUAACGCGUAGGUAACCUGCCUUGUAGCGGGGGAUAACUAUUGGAAACGAUAGCUAAUACCGCAUAACAAUGGAUGACCCAUGUCAUUUAUUUGAAAGGGGCGAAAUGCUCCACUACAAGAUGGACCUGCGUUGUAUUAG
RNAcentral lists this ribosomal RNA (240 nucleotides) under uncultured bacterium. Its description in RNAcentral is "partial 16S ribosomal RNA". It matches the Rfam family "Bacterial small subunit ribosomal RNA", at positions 15 to 244 of the family's 1533-position model. The record is from RNAcentral.